UACGUAGGGGGCAAGCGUUGUUCGGAAUUACUGGGCGUAAAGGGCGCGUAGGCGACACGGCAAGUCGGGAGUGAAAGCCCGGGGCUCAACCCCGGAGGGUCUUCCGAAACUGCCGAGCUAGAGUGCGGAAGAGGCAACCGGAAUUCCCAGUGUAGCGGUGAAAUGCGUAGAUAUUGGGAAGAACACCAGAGGCGAAGGCGGGUUGCUGGGCCGACACUGACGCUGAGGCGCGAAAGCCAGGGGAGCAAACGGG
Molecule: ribosomal RNA, 253 nt
Filed under: uncultured bacterium
Lineage: Bacteria
Description: partial 16S ribosomal RNA
Rfam family: Bacterial small subunit ribosomal RNA
Source: RNAcentral